GGGAAUGUGGCUUAGUGGUAGAGUGCUUGCCUAUCAUGCAUGAAGACCUAGGUUCAAUUCCUCAGUACCA
This 70-nucleotide transfer RNA is filed under the name Dipodomys ordii (Ord's kangaroo rat). It matches the Rfam family "tRNA". Rfam says of the family: Transfer RNA (tRNA) molecules are approximately 80 nucleotides in length. The record is from Rfam by way of RNAcentral. Lineage: Eukaryota; Metazoa; Chordata; Mammalia; Rodentia; Heteromyidae.